This 271-nucleotide ribosomal RNA is filed under the name uncultured bacterium. RNAcentral describes it as "partial 16S ribosomal RNA". It matches the Rfam family "Bacterial small subunit ribosomal RNA", at positions 793 to 1055 of the family's 1533-position model. The record is from RNAcentral.
GUCCACGCCCUAAACGAUGUCAACUGGUUGUUGGGUCUUCACUGACUCAGUAACGAAGCUAACGCGUGAAGUUGACCGCCUGGGGAGUACGGCCGCAAGGUUGAACUCAAAGGAAUUGACGGGGACCCGGCCACAAGCGGUGGGAUGAUGUGGUUUAAUUUCGAUGCAACGCGAAAACCUUAAACCCCACCCUUUGUACAUGUACGGAAGUUACCAGAGAUGGUUUCGUGCUCGAAAGAGAACCGUAACACAGGUGCUGCAUGGCUGUCGU